UACGGAGGGGGUUAGCGUUGUUCGGAAUGACUGGGCGUAAAGCGCGCGUAGGCGGAUCAUCAAGUCGGGGGUGAAAUCCCGGGGCUCAACCCCGGAAUGGCCUUCGAGACUGGUGGUCUUGAGUUCGAGAGAGGUGAGUGGAAUUACGAGUGUAGAGGUGAAAUUCGUAGAUAUUCGGAGGAACACCAGUGGCGAAGGCGGCUCACUGGCUCGACACUGACGCUGAGGUGCGAAAGCGUGGGGAGCAAACAGG
This 253-nucleotide ribosomal RNA is filed under the name uncultured bacterium. RNAcentral's name for it is "partial 16S ribosomal RNA". It matches the Rfam family "Bacterial small subunit ribosomal RNA", at positions 524 to 776 of the family's 1533-position model. The record is from RNAcentral.